Molecule: long non-coding RNA, 272 nt
Filed under: Anser brachyrhynchus (Pink-footed goose)
Lineage: Eukaryota; Metazoa; Chordata; Aves; Anseriformes; Anatidae
Description: lncRNA (ENSABRG00000018274.1)
Source: RNAcentral
CUCCCAUCCCAUCAGGUUAUGGUACAGAUGACUACUUCGAUUCAAUUAAUGAGACAAUUGGAAACCCAUUUUCAGUUAUAAAUGUGGUGGCAUUGCUGUAAAUAUGUUACGAGAACCUUGACAGCUUUGCUGUAGCUCCAAAUCUUCCUCUUAUGUCCUGAACACUUAUUAAAUCAGCAUCUUUCUUGAGAGGCAAUUGGAUUUCUUUUCAGUAUGUGGACGAGAACGAGAAGAUGCGUGUAACUGUUAGGCAUGUGGUGGAUGGUAAAUGG